This 656-nucleotide ribosomal RNA is filed under the name Klebsiella sp. AT-BI-35. Its description in RNAcentral is "bacterial SSU rRNA". It matches the Rfam family "Bacterial small subunit ribosomal RNA", at positions 55 to 702 of the family's 1533-position model. Lineage: Bacteria; Pseudomonadati; Pseudomonadota; Gammaproteobacteria; Enterobacterales; Enterobacteriaceae. The record is from RNAcentral.
AUGCAGUCGAGCGGAUAGCACAUAGAGCUUGCUCUUGGGUGACGAGCGGCGGACGGGUGAGUAAUGUCUGGGAAACUGCCUGAUGGAGGGGGAUAACUACUGGAAACGGUAGCUAAUACCGCAAAACGUCCCAUGACCAAAGUGGGGGACCUUCGGGCCUCAUGCCAUCAGAUGUGCCCAGAUGGGAUUAUCUGGUAGGUGGGGUAACGGCUCACCUAGGCGACGAUCCCUAACUGGUCUGAGAGGAUGACCAGCCACACUGGAACUGAGACACGGUCCACACUCCUACGGGAGGCAGCAGUGGGGAAUAUUGCACAAUGGGCGCAAGCCUGAUGCCGCCAUGCCGCGUGUGUGAAGAAGGCCUUCGGGUUGUAAAACACUUUCAGCGGGGAGGAAGGCGAUAAGGUUAAUAACCUUGUCGAUUGACGUUACCCGCAGAAGAUACCCCGGCUAGCUCCGUGCCAACAGCCCCGGUAAUACCGAUGGUGCAAGCGUUACUCGGAUUUACUGGACUUAUAGCGCACACAGGCAGUCUGUCUGGUCAGAUGUGACAUCCCCGGGCUCAACCUGGGCACUGCAUUCUAGACUGGCAGGCUAGAGUCUUGUAGAGCGGGGUAGAAUUCCAGGUGUACCUGUGAAAUGCGUAAAGAUCUGGA